Molecule: ribosomal RNA, 332 nt
Filed under: uncultured bacterium
Lineage: Bacteria
Description: bacterial SSU rRNA
Rfam family: Bacterial small subunit ribosomal RNA
Source: RNAcentral
CGCGUAGGCGGCCUGGCAAGUCGAUGGUGAAAGCCCGAGGCUCAACUUCGGGUCGGCCACUGAUACUGCUAGGCUCGAGUCGACUAGAGGCAGAUGGAAUUCCGGGUGUAGCGGUGGAAUGCGUAGAGAUCCGGAAGAACACCGGUGGCGAAGGCGGUCUGCUGGGGUCGAACUGACGCUGAGGCGCGACAGCGUGGGGAGCAAACAGGAUUAGAUACCCUGGUAGUCCACGCCGUAAACGAUGGGCACUAGGUGCUUGGGGGAGCGACCCCUUGAGUGCCGGCGCUAACGCAUUAAGUGCCCCGCCUGGGGAGUACGGCCGCAAGGCUGAA